AUUUAUAUAGUUUAAUAAAAACAUUAUAUUUUCAUUAUAAAAACAGAUUCCUAUCUUAUAAAUA
RNAcentral lists this transfer RNA (64 nucleotides) under Chilocorus rubidus. Its description in RNAcentral is "tRNA-Glu". The record is from RNAcentral. Lineage: Eukaryota; Metazoa; Arthropoda; Insecta; Coleoptera; Coccinellidae.